UUUAUUUUAUAAAUUAACUUAUAAAAUAUCAUCUUUAUUCUACGUUCACGGAAAAGGAAAUUAUGGAACCAUAUUAAGUUAUAUAAUUCCAUCGAUUCAUAAAGAGACAAAGGCCACCAUUUACAGCGGGACGCAACAAAUUAAUCGGUGAGAUCGAUGCGAUCGAUACAUACAGGUAUUUUCGGCAUGGAUCGUGAUUAUUCGUCGUGCAUGCGUACAAUCACAGCGUAUAGGAACGGCCGUGAAAAGUAAACGUCAAUCGUGGUUGACAAUCGGAACUCGACGCACGAAUCCUCAGCGCCUCCGGUCUCGAUCGUUCGCCGCUCAUCGUCAGUCGGCGAUCGGCGCUCGUGCUGUUUGUAUCGUGUUUACGGGUGUCUCGAAUUCGUGAUCGCAUGUAUUUAUCGCCGCAAGUAUUCCUGUGAAUAUUUCAAAGUGUCGCGAGGUGUCUUAAAAUUGUAAAUUCUUAUUUUUAAUAGAACAUUUUAUUUUUGAUCUCUAUCGUUAUACUUUUUAUUCUCGUAAAAAAUCGUAUCGAACGAUAAAUUGGCCGACAUUCUUAAUCGUGAUACACAUCGAUUAUCUUAUCGUGGUCUAUACGGAAAGAGAAAAAAAAAAGAGAGGUGUAGUUCUCGUUGUGGCGUUACUGCGAGUGUUACGCAAUCGUCACGACCAACCGGUAUAAUGAAGUCGAAGACGAGCGAAAAUUUUAUUGCGAGUGAAAGUAACGGGGUCAAGAGGGACCAGGAACUCAAGCAGAAACAGCUGAAAAGGGGUAAAACAUUCUGCCAGUCUUGUAAGAAGAAGUGCAGCGGGGAGGUACUACGAGUGCAGGACAAGUAUUUCCACAUAGGGUGUUUCAAGUGUGCUCAAUGUAACGCGAGCUUAGCGCAGGGUGGUUUUUUCGCGCGCGAGGGCUCUUACUAUUGCACCAAGGAUUACAGGGAACGGUGGGGAACAAAGUGCGCGGGCUGUGGAGAAUACGUGGAGGGCGACGUGGUCACUGCCGGAGACAAGCAUGCCUUCCAUCCCAACUGUUUCCACUGCCAACGAUGCAGACAACCGUUACUCGGACAGGGGACCAAGGUUUCCCUCGUCCAAGGUCAAGCUCUUUGUCACCGAUGCGUCGGUAUCCCUGUCCGAGAGGCCUCGACGCCAAUCGGGAAUAGCUCCGCCACCCGAGGAUCCGGAGACGGGCCCUCCGACCCCGGUGCCUGCGCUGGUUGCGGAAACCAAUUACGAGAAGGUCAGGCUUUGGUAGCUCUCGAUCGACAGUGGCACGUAUGGUGUUUAAAAUGUCACAGCUGUGACACCGUCCUUCAUGGAGAGUAUAUGGGAAAAGACGGGGUGCCUUAUUGCGAGAAGGAUUACCAGAAGUUGUUCGGUGUGAAAUGCGCCUAUUGCAAUCGUUACAUCAGCGGAAAGGUGCUGCAGGCAGGUGACAAUCAUCAUUUUCACCCGACUUGUGCCCGUUGCACCAAGUGUGGCGAUCCUUUCGGCGAUGGAGAGGAGAUGUAUUUGCAGGGCGCUGCCAUUUGGCAUCCCCGUUGUGGCCCGGGUCCUAGCGGACCCAACGGUAUCGUGAACGGCCACGGAGAAGCUCACACGCCACAGCAUCGAGAAUCAGAACGGAUUUCCAGCAGCGCAUCGGAGAUGCAGUUUUCAUUGCGGUCACGCACGCCAAGCCUGAACGGAUCACUCUGCAGCCCUUACAGCAGCCUCAGUCGCAAGUAUUACCCCGCGCGAACUGGAAGUCCCGGAUUGAUAUUGCGAGAAUACGGACGUGGUCCAUCCGAAGAUGUGUCUAGGAUUUAUACUUAUUCGUACUUGACCGAAACGCCUACCCAAGGAUACUUGAGACGUCCGAUACAGCCGUACGACAAACCUCCGACUAGCCCACACUUUCAUAGACCUAGCUCGUCACGUUCGAUAAGAAGCAGUGGCGGACGCAGCAGCCGAUCUGGAAUGCGUGCUCUGGUCGAUGCUCUCAGCGAGACCAGACCAAAGUCACCGGCCAGUCAAGUAGAUAAUGACGAGCCAAUAGAGUUGGCGCAUUAUCCGGACGCCAUGAAACCUCCUCCUGGAACCAAACCGCCGAUCGAGAGAGAUGAUUUUCCCGCUCCACCUUAUCCUUAUACAGAUCCUGAAAGACGUAGACGAUGGUCCGACACUUAUAAGGGAGUACCUGCAUCCGACGACGAGGACGAAGUGGAUAACAAAACUUAUAUAAAGGAGGUGGAGGAGAAGUUGAAGAAAGAACAAGACGAGCUAAGCAAAAUCGAUACUGGAAUAGCGAAAGUGUUUUUGCAAGAUCGUGAAAAGGAUCGAGAGAAUUUGAGACACAGAGCCGCGAACGUUGAUCCUAGAAAUGCGUCGAGAACGCCAUCAGCUGCCAGAGAACCGACUUAUAGAUUGCGAUACGAGAGUCCAGUUGGCGCUUCGCCUUCGAGAAACAUAGAUCACGCCAGACCGUGGGAGGACGAUGAUGGUUUCAGUUAUAGAUCUAGCGUAGGACCUAGUUACAACGUUGGGAGGUCAUCGGCACGUUCCCCGGCUCCCAGAAACUAUCCACCCCUUGGUACUCAACGCGCCUUCACUCUUCCAAACGCCGCUAGGCACUAUCAUUCGUUGUGAGCUCCCUUCGGCACAUCCCGAAGCCAGGGUACGGUCUGGCACCGCGAAGUCACACCUUCUCCUCGACCGGCGGUUCUGUAUCUGCUCUCCCUGGUGAUUAUUCGUUCAGUGGGAUGGG
RNAcentral lists this unclassified non-coding RNA (2752 nucleotides) under Apis florea (little honeybee). Its description in RNAcentral is "actin-binding LIM protein 2, transcript variant X8". The record is from RNAcentral. Lineage: Eukaryota; Metazoa; Arthropoda; Insecta; Hymenoptera; Apidae.